UCCGGCAGGUGGCGGUAUUCGGCCGGACAGAGAACACCAGAAGAAGAAAAAUGCCCGGCUGUGAUUGGCUGCUGGCUGGUAUAAAGACAACAUGGCGGCGCUACGGCCAAGUCUCAAGCUGAAGCUGGUUCCAGGAGAAGAUAAAGGAUCACAUCCGGGAGGAGAGCCCGAUGACCGGGGACGGAGAGCCGCAGCGGCCGGGUCUGACCAUCCGACGACCGUAGCGGGCUCCACCACGAUCCGGACCCGGUGCUGCUACGUCAACGGUAAGAGACUGUAAACUACGUCACUGUGGCGCGAAAGUGUAUAAACAUGGCGGGACCCAGCGGCCUGAAUGAUCACAGUUAAAAAGUUAUGCUGCGUUCGAUUGUACUCGGAACUCGGACAGAUCCGACCUUCAAGUCGGAAAAGUGCAAUAGAACGGCCCUUAAACACGGGAUUCCGAUUCGGAAAUACGUUGAAAAUGUCAAAGCUAAAUGGCGCCACACACCGUGAGAGGUGUGUGAGCGUAGUAGGGACGAAAAAGCACAGUAAAAGUGUAAAAAAGAUUAGUUUUCCCCGUAUUUAAACUACAUUAGUCUAAUGUGUAAUACUGCACUUCUUUUUAUUAUAUCCAAGAAAUUGAUAAGAUUAAUUAUAUUUUUUGUCUCAAGUAUUUGCAGACCACAAUUUCACCCUAUAUUUGGAACCAGAGAGGACACUACCAUUUAACUGUAUGUUGUGAUUUUUAAAUGCUCUAAAGACAUCCAAACAUCUAUUUGCUGUGGCCGGCCAAGUUUUCCGAGGUUGAGCAAUGAAACGCAUUUACCUCGGAAGUCGGAAAUCCAGGUCUGGUGGUCCUGGUGUUUGAGUCUGGAAGUGAUGAAACAAAAGGCCGAUUGAAGCCCCCCCUCAGCAGUCUGUUCACAGAGGGGGGGUCGUGACAAAACCCACCUGAAGCGUAUUCUGACCCAGACUGCAGACACCUGGACCUGGAGUAGACCUGGACCAGGCCAGUGCUGAAGCAUUGAGGGCAUUUUUCUGUUCAUGCAUCAUUAAUAAUCUGUUAUUUCUGGUCACUUGUCUGCAUGUGAACUCCAGCAGACGGGCUUCAGCUGCAGGGGUUAAUCGGUCUGUCACCUGUCUGCAGGUGAGGCUCCGCCCACUGACUGACUGACAGACUUCUGAUGCCAUCAGUGAGGCCACACACCGACCGACAGCAGGACGCUGUCUGUCUCUCUUCAGCAUAUGUGCCCCUCUGCAUCCUUUAGAGAUGAGAACUUCUUUUUUUUUUUUUUUUUCACCUUUUGAAGGCCACUUGAGACCAACAAAUUGAUAUAUCAUUUUCAUAUUUUUUUCAUUACUGGUCAAUUUUGGUAAAUUAUUCAAAAUUAGGCCUCAUUUCAAGAGAAAGUAAUAAAACAUGAAUCAUUUUUCAAUAGUUAUUGUAAAAUAAUUUCUUGAUGGGAAUGCACAGAGUAGGUUAUGUCAAAUUUUAGUAAAACCUAUGUUUUGAAAGCAUUGAUUAUUUUUGGAUGUCAGCAAAAGUAAAAUAAAAACCACACCCAUUGAAAGUUAGUUUUUCGUGGGUAUGUAUUACCCAAAUUAUUUCACUCUAACUAUUGAAACAAUUAUUUGGGUUUUAUUACUUUUUUUUUUUUCCCUUGAAAUGAGGCAUAAUUUUGUAUAUUUGACUUAAAUUGACAUAAUGAAAAAAUCAUGUUGGUCUUGAGUUGCCUUAAAAAGGUGGAGAAUUUUUUUUUAUUUCUUUCUACAUGUCCUUAAACCAGUCUUGUGUCAUUUUUUUUUUUUUUUUUAAACCCCUGAGGACCAUGGGUGCGUAGUCAACGGGAGGACGAACAAGGGUUAACUCUGAAUAUUAAAAUCAUGUUUCAACAUUUUGUUCUGAUUUCUUCGCUGCAGCAGAACUGAAAUAAAUCUGAUUAUUUCCUGCUCAUGAUGAUUUAUUGUUGAAUAAAGAGGUAAAAUAUCUUAA
Centropristis striata (black sea bass) is the source of this 1975-nucleotide long non-coding RNA. RefSeq lists it as uncharacterized. Lineage: Eukaryota; Metazoa; Chordata; Actinopteri; Perciformes; Serranidae. The record is from RefSeq and is a predicted model, not a curated record. The transcript is spliced from 3 exons.